Long non-coding RNA from Aegilops tauschii subsp. strangulata, 1540 nucleotides. RefSeq lists it as uncharacterized. The record is from RefSeq and is a predicted model, not a curated record. Lineage: Eukaryota; Viridiplantae; Streptophyta; Magnoliopsida; Poales; Poaceae.
AAAACUCUGUCGUUCUCACGUCCCGCAAGAGUAGGAAGGGAUCCCAGGCCGCGUAAUUAGCGCUAGCAUCCGUGAGAGGCCAGAGCCCGUCCGCUCGGGGACCCAGGCCCCUCGUGCGCUCACGACGGAGAACUUCGCAGCGCAUCGGCCGACGGCUGCUCCGGUCGCCGCCCCUACUCCGCGCGCCCAGAGGUAAGGGUGUGGCCCAUCGAUGCCGUCCUCCUCUGCUUGGUGGCCUCCAUGGAUGCGGGAGGCCAAGUCGCCAGAUCUGUGCUGGCCGAUCGAAAGGGUCCCCGGAGGACGGCCGUCGGCCGGAGCUUCGCCAUCUACCUCCAACAGCCAUCCGGCACCCCAUUGCUACUGGUGUGUCGUGCCCCUUCCCAAUCAACGUCGCCGACAGCCUCACGGAUGCCGACAUCGCCGGGCUUCCUCAGCUCCCUCCCUGCCCCCUUGCCGGACCUCCCCGGCUCCCAGCUGCCCGUACACAGCACCGACACGGUCCCCGUGGCCUUGUUGACACCUCCCCGAGCAGGUGACCCACACGCACACCACUCUCGGCUGCACCAGCGCGGAACUGAUGGUGCACGACGACGAGCUUCCUAGACAAGAGGAUCUCCGUACUCUUUCUGAUGGUGCAAAAUCAAGGUUCACUUUCGCCUUAUUAUUGCUCCACAUAUUGAUACAAAUGUCGGAGAUUGCUCUUUUCUGGACACCUGCCGCCACACUGAGAUCUGGAGUGGACUGAAGUUUCAGUAUCUAUGAGAGAUGCAAGAACCUGUUCUCCUUCUCAAGGAAGCAUUGAGCAGUUGCAUUGCAAAUACAAGGAUCACCAUCAGUCCAACAGAGAGGUAGCAACAAGAGGUUGAGGUUAUCACUUGAGGGCAAGAAAUCCUAUCGUAUCCUUCCAAACGCGGAGGAGCAUUCCUUAUACUUUUAGCAGAUCAAAUAAUUCGAUGAUGCUUUGCUUUCUUACUAUUAUCUGUUGAAAUGCAUGUUAUCUGUUGAAGAGCAUGAUUGUUCUGAUUAUAAGGACCCUUUUUCCAACAUCGAGAUGAUGUAUUUGCAAACCUUAAUGCAAAAUGGUUAGUCAGUCUCAGCUCUACUUUCCAGAAGAACAUGUAACUGGAGGUUAUGCAGUCUAAUGUCGACAGGCGCGAGAUACAACGCCAACCUGGCAAGCUUUAUCUUCCUAUAAGCCACCCAGAGGUCCAGGGCGACUACAUGCCCAUCACUCGCGGCGGCGAGAAGCACAUGCAUACGGCAAGCUCUGUGUCGAGAUUAUUAACCAACACCUGUUGGGAGCCCGGAUGAAGAAGGCUGUCGACGCGGAGAAAGAGGAUAAGUGAUGAGAUGUUUAUGGCAGCUAAUGGAUGAUGUUAUCUUAGUUCUGGAUUUUUGUUUCGGUUGAUCGGAAACCUUGUUUGAUUUUUGAAGAUAGCUUUUUAGAACUACAAAUAUUUGAUACAAUGUGUUUUAGUAUAGACGUGCGUUGCACGUGCGAGCUUACUAGUACUAAUGGAGGAAGAACAAAUGAACUGGA